AUUGAACGCUGGCGGCAGGCUUAACACAUGCAAGUCGAGCGGGGUGAUGGUGCUUGCACUAUCACUUAGCGGCGGACGGGUGAGUAAUGCUUAGGAAUCUGCCUAUUAGUGGGGGACAACAUCUCGAAAGGGAUGCUAAUACCGCAUACGUCCUACGGGAGAAAGCAGGGGAUCACCUGUGACCUUGCGCUAAUAGAUGAGCCUAAGUCGGAUUAGCUAGUUGGUGGGGUAAAGGCCUACCAAGGCGACGAUCUGUAGCGGGGCUGAGAGGAUGAUCCGCCACACUGGGACUGAGACACGGCCCAGACUCCUACGGGAGGCAGCAGUGGGGAAUAUUGGACAAUGGGGGGAACCCUGAUCCAGCCAUGCCGCGUGUGUGAAGAAGGCCUUAUGGUUGUAAAGCACUUUAAGCGAGGAGGAGGCUCUUUUGGUUAAAACCCAAGAUGAGUGGACGUUACUCGCAGAAUAAGCACCGGCUAACUCUGUGCCAGCCGCCGCAGUAA
Molecule: ribosomal RNA, 503 nt
Filed under: uncultured bacterium
Lineage: Bacteria
Description: partial 16S ribosomal RNA
Rfam family: Bacterial small subunit ribosomal RNA
Source: RNAcentral